GACGAACGCUGGCGGCGUGCUUAACACAUGCCAGUCGAACGGAAAGGCCCUGCUUUUGUGGGGUGCUCGAGUGGCGAACGGGUGAGUAACACGUGAGUAACCUGCCCUUGACUUUGGGAUAACUUCAGGAAACUGGGGCUAAUACCGGAUAGGAGCUCCUGCUGCAUGGUGGGGGUUGGAAAGUUUCGGCGGUUGGGGAUGGACUCGCGGCUUAUCAGCUUGUUGAUGGGGUAGUGGCUUAUCAAGGCUUUGACGGGUAGCCGGCCUGAGAGGGUGACCGGCCACAUUGGGACUGAGAUACGGCCCAGACUCCUACGGGAGGCAGCAGUGGGGAAUAUUGCACAAUGGGCGGAAGCCUGAUGCAGCAACGCCGCGUGCGGGAUGACGGCCUUCGGGUUGUAGACCGCUUUCGCCUGUGACGAAGCGUGAGUGACGGUAAUGGGUAAAGAAGCACCGGCUAACUACGUG
RNAcentral lists this ribosomal RNA (468 nucleotides) under uncultured bacterium. RNAcentral's name for it is "partial 16S ribosomal RNA". It matches the Rfam family "Bacterial small subunit ribosomal RNA", at positions 28 to 507 of the family's 1533-position model. The record is from RNAcentral.